Molecule: long non-coding RNA, 1210 nt
Organism: Rosa rugosa (rugosa rose)
Lineage: Eukaryota; Viridiplantae; Streptophyta; Magnoliopsida; Rosales; Rosaceae
Exons: 3
Source: RefSeq, a predicted model, not a curated record
UGCAUUUCCCAGGAAUCUUAUAUGUGUUUACUCGAAAAAGCACGUGAAUGAUGUUCCUGAGCUUGCUGGAAUGAAAAGAAAAGCAAACACACGGAGUUUGAAGGAAAUGACUUUGCAAUUGAGUGGAGAUGGGAAAGUGGGGUUCCGGGAUGUUGCUUUCUCUUCUUUCUCCUCAUCACUAGAUACUUUAAGUGAGAGGUGAACAAGAAGGUGCUUAAAGUUCCUGGAAUUGAACAGAAGGUAACUGAAUUGCCUUUAGCACUUCUAGUAGCUAUGCCAAGGUAAUAUGUUAAUAGUCAUGCACAUGAAUCUUCAUGGCCUUAUUUCAGGAUACAAAAGUAUGCAUGUUUCUUAUGCCAUGGGAUUUGAAGUGCUAUUAAUCAACUAUGGAAGAGCACAUUUUUUGGUAUUAAUAAUUGUGCAUGGCUUCUAUAGAUAGCUGAUUUUGUUUCAAAUUUGGAAAGCAGCUAAGAAACUAAUUAAUUAGGCACAUGAAAGUUCUUAGAGGAGACAAUGUGAGGGCCAUGAGAUUCUUCCUUCUUUGCCUCUUGUCUUUUUCUAUAUUUAUAAGUUAAUUGUGUUCCAAUCUCAUCUGCAGGUGAUGGUCAUAAGAGGCAAAGACAAGGGUGAGACCGGUGACAUCAAGUAAGUCAUUUGCUCUCAGAAUUGUGUAAAUGUGGGAAGUAUACCAUCCAAUCAAUAAUUUGCAUAUGAUUCUCUUUGAACCAUAUGAGAAACCCUGAUCUUUUCAUAUUUUAGUUUUAAAUAAGCUUGUUCCAAUCCCAAGGCUUUUGGGUAUUCCAAUGAAUGAGAUGGUUUUGGUUAACAAAUAUUCUGCCUUUUCAAGUAAAGAAACAUAUAAGCAAGGCCAAGGUCAUGAAGGUGGGAUAUUUACUGUCGAAGCUCCUCUUCAUGCCUCAAAUGUGCAAGUUGUUGAUCCAGUAACAGGGUAUGGAAGUAAUCAUAACAUUGUACAUUGACAAUUGUUGUUGAGUUUUGUUAUUUGCUUACACUUCUAGUGUGGUGAUUAGAUAUUUUCAUCAUGUGCAAGCGACCUUGUAAGGAUGGGGUUAAAUAUCUUGAGGAUGGAACAAAAGUUAAGAGUAGAAAGAGGCAUAGGAGCAUCAUGAUCUAUAGCUAUGAAAAAAGUGAAGGGCACAAGACCUUGUCAUUGCAGGUUUGAUCACCCAUCUAAAGUUAUGAAGAAAAG